RNAcentral lists this long non-coding RNA (636 nucleotides) under Triticum aestivum (bread wheat). RNAcentral's name for it is "long non-coding RNA (TAES_LNC009168)". Lineage: Eukaryota; Viridiplantae; Streptophyta; Magnoliopsida; Poales; Poaceae. The record is from RNAcentral.
CAAACUUCAUCUGCCUCGGCAAGCAAACCUGCGCCAUCAGAACAAACAUCUGCAAGAGCAAUAACCAGGGAUCCAUGGACUGCAGCAUCGGCAUCCAGCUGGCCUUCUCGGGCACAGACAAGCACGAGUCGGUCCUCAACUCGUGGUACGAGGUGUCGAACCUGCAGCAGUACUCGCUCUACGGGCUGUACUCGAACGUGAAGGGGUCCCUGAGCGGCCAGUUCAACAAGUUCUUCUAGGCUCCUGGAAGGCUGGAAUGACCGUUUGUCCAUAGCACUCUCCUGCCACUGCCUGUCGCUGUACUCAAGGGGAGCCCUAGGUUUGCCUGCCCGUCCAGCUGAUUGUACGCAAACUGAUCUAGCUCGUGUGGAAAAUCAAAGCUCAUCGAUAUGCAUGCAUGUACCUAUUGCGAGUCAUUUUAUGCUGAGUAUAUUAUUUGUAUUACUCUUUGCAUUGAACUUCAAAUCAUGUGACGGAUCGAUCGUUCGCUGUCGAUGGCGUCGUGUGCCGUACUGAAGAAACAUCGUCAUGCCCGAUCAGAAUGCGCGUUGAUAUCAACAGCUCGUGCAUCUUUGUAUAUUUUUUGCUCACCUGGGUACGACUAUUUCUUGAUGAUACAGAAAAAUUGGUCUGCUG